This 992-nucleotide ribosomal RNA is filed under the name Klebsiella sp. RNAcentral's name for it is "bacterial SSU rRNA". It matches the Rfam family "Bacterial small subunit ribosomal RNA", at positions 38 to 1032 of the family's 1533-position model. Lineage: Bacteria; Pseudomonadati; Pseudomonadota; Gammaproteobacteria; Enterobacterales; Enterobacteriaceae. The record is from RNAcentral.
AAUGGUGAGGGAAUAACACAUGCAAGUCGAGCGGUAGCACAGAGAGCUUGCUCUCCGGGUGACGAGCGGCGGACGUGUGAGUAAUGUCUGGGAAACUGCCUGAUGGAGGGGGAUAACUACUGGAAACGGUAGCUAAUACCGCAUAACGUCGCAAGACCAAAGUGGGGGACCUUCGGGCCUCAUGCCAUCAGAUGUGCCCAGAUGGGAUUAGCUAGUAGGUGGGGUAACGGCUCACCUAGGCGACGAUCCCUAGCUGGUCUGAGAGGAUGACCAGCCACACUGGAACUGAGACACGGUCAGACUCCUACGGGAGGCAGCAGUGGGGAAUAUUGCACAAUGGGCGCAAGCCUGAUGCAGCCAUGCCGCGUGUGUGAAGAAGGCCUUCGGGUUGUAAAGCACUUUCAGCGGGGAGGAAAGGCGGUAGAGGUAAUAACCUUGGCGAUUGACGUUACCCCGCAGAAGAAGCACCGGCUAACUCCGUGCCAGCAGCCGCGGUAAUACGGAAGGGGUGCAAGCGUUAUUCGGAAUUUCCGGGGCGUAAAGCGCACGCAGGCGGUCUUGUCAGUUCGGAUGUGAAAUCCCGGGCCUACCUGGGGAACUUGCAUUCGAACUUGGCAGCUAAGUCUUGGAAAGGGGGGUAGAAUUCCGGGUGUACCGUGAAUGCUUAAGUUUGGAGGAAAACCGGGGGCGAAGGGCGCCCCUGGACAAAAACUGGAUCCCAGGUCAAAACCGUGGGGAACAAAGGGGAUAGAUACCCCUGGAAGUCCACCCGAAACAAUGUCAUUUUAGAGGUGUGCCUUGAGGCUGGCUCCCGGAGCAAACCGUUAACCACCUCCGGGGAUACCCGCCGCGGGUUUACAGCUCAUAUGAUUAUCGGGUGCCCCCCACCACCCGUGGAGCUAGUGGCUACUAUAAGAUGUCUCGCAACAGAGCACAAUCGUGUAUUGAACGAUCAAACGAUCAUCUCCACAUAAAUAGCGUAUGUCUGCUUG